UAGGGAAUCUUCCGCAAUGGACGCAAGUCUGACGGAGCAACGCCGCGUGAGUGAAGAAGGAUUUCGGUUCGUAAAACUCUGUUGUUAGAGAAGAACAGCGCAUAGAGUAACUGUUAUGCGUGUGACGGUAUCUAACCAGAAAGCCACGGCUAACUACGUGCCAGCAGCCGCGGUAAUACGCAGGUAGCAAGCGUUGUCCGGAUUUAUUGGGCGUAAAGCGAGCGCAGGCGGUCAAUUAAGUCUGAUGUGAAAGCCCCCGGCUCAACCGGGUAGGGUCAUUGGAAGCUUGUUGACUUGAGUGCAGAAGAGGAGGGUGGAAUUCCAUGUGUAGCGGUGACAUGCGUAGAUAUAAGGAGGAACACCAGUGGCGAAGGCGACUCUCUGGUCUGUAACUGACGCUGAGGUUCGAAAGCGUGGGUAGCAAACAGG
RNAcentral lists this ribosomal RNA (429 nucleotides) under Bacteroidota bacterium. RNAcentral describes it as "Bacteroidetes bacterium partial 16S ribosomal RNA". It matches the Rfam family "Bacterial small subunit ribosomal RNA", at positions 355 to 776 of the family's 1533-position model. Lineage: Bacteria; Pseudomonadati; Bacteroidota. The record is from RNAcentral.